Molecule: ribosomal RNA, 702 nt
Filed under: uncultured Lachnospiraceae bacterium
Lineage: Bacteria; Bacillati; Bacillota; Clostridia; Lachnospirales; Lachnospiraceae
Description: bacterial SSU rRNA
Rfam family: Bacterial small subunit ribosomal RNA
Source: RNAcentral
GAUGAACGCUGGCGGCGUGCUUACACAUGCAAGUCGAACGGGAAACAUUUCAUUGAGGCUUCGGCGGAUUUGAUCUGUUUCUAGUGGCGGACGGGUGAGUAACGCGUGGGUAACCUGCCUUAUACUGGGGGAUAACAGCCAGAAAUGACUGCUAAUACCGCAUAAGCGCACAGAACCGCAUGGUUCCGUGUGAAAAACUCCGGUGGUAUAAGAUGGACCCGCGUUGGAUUAGCUAGUUGGCAGGGCAGCGGCCUACCAAGGCGACGAUCCAUAGCCGGCCUGAGAGGGUGAACGGCCACAUUGGGACUGAGACACGGCCCAGACUCCUACGGGAGGCAGCAGUGGGGAAUAUUGCACAAUGGGGGAAACCCUGAUGCAGCGACGCCGCGUGAAGGAAGAAGUAUCUCGGUAUGUAAACUUCUAUCAGCAGGGAAGAUAAUGACGGUACCUGACUAAGAAGCCCCGGCUAACUACGUGCCAGCAGCCGCGGUAAUACGUAGGGGGCAAGCGUUAUCCGGAUUUACUGGGUGUAAAGGGAGCGUAGACGGCGCAGCAAGUCUGAUGUGAAAGGCAGGGGCUUAACCCCUGGACUGCAUUGGAAACUGCUGUGCUUGAGUGCCGGAGGGGUAAGCGGAAUUCCUAGUGUAGCGGUGAAAUGCGUAGAUAUUAGGAGGAACACCAGUGGCGAAGGCGGCUUACUGG